AAAAAAACCCACUGCACCUCUGGUAACGUGCCAAGGAAGAACGCGGUAAAGGAAUGGGCUCUAAUAUAUACUUCUGUCCGAGAGAAACUGGGUUUGAAAACAAUCAAAAAUGGCGCAUGGACUCAUGAGGACAUCUGGAAAAUGUCUGAGCAACUUUGGUGAAGCUGAGUCUCGGAAAGCUGAUACAUUGACAGGUAUUCAUUACGACACGGUCGGUCGUUGGCGCCAUUUCAGACCGGUUUUCAUGUGCAAGCACCCUAAAAGGAAGGUUUACUUAGCAUCGAGGUUGAACUAUCAUCCCAAUUCUAAUGCAAGCUUCAAUUUAACUAGACUGGCGCUUUGUGGAGACUGUGAAAACAGGGUUUUGCCUUCACAAAUGAACGGACGGACGGGGACAACUCUUAAAAACUCUUCUGGGUAAAGGCUUUCCUUGGGGGCACUCGCUGGCUGCGGGAAGGUAACCGGAAUCUAUUACGGUUGCUGACUAUCCUUGAGAGAAUGACUAACGACAACAGGGUUGGCUCCAACGUAGAUUUAUUCUUCAAGCUCUACUACAAUUUUGACCAGAACGGACCAGGCCAGGGCUGGUUCGACCCUGCUCUUCUCUCUCUUAACUUUCUCCUCUCUUCUCUCACCCAACUCCUAAGCUUUACAGAACAGUCCUAUUUAAGCCUAACGUACAUGGAUAACGUAAUGCCAUGAAUAAUCUAAAGGAUCAUGUAAUCUACUACACUAUUGGCUAAGUAGGAAUUUCGCCUUUUACAACAUUAAUUACUUUUAAAGAGUUCCGGUGGAUAACAGUUACACAAAAAGACAUGACAGGUGGCUGUUACAGUUUAACACUAAUAACAACUGUUUACAGCUCAAGCGUGGAGAAUGGAUACCGGUACAUAAGAAGGAUGAUAAACAAAGGGAUGCAAACUAUAGACCUAUCACUGUGCUGUCAUGCGUAAAUAAAGUCUAUGAAAUAUUGCUGGGUCAACAAGUCAGUAAGUUUAUGAAUGACAGACUCAGUGAUGCUAUCACUGCCUAUCGUACAAAGAAUAGCUGUGAGACCACGCUGAUAAGGCUGACCGAAACAUGGAGAGCGGAACUAGACAGCAAGAGAAUUGACGGUAUAUUGUCAUCGGAUAUGAGCAAGGUUUUUGACUCUCUUAGCCCUCAGUUACUCUUAAAUAAACUGCAAGCCUACAAUUUCUCUGACAAAGUCAUACAGCUCUUACGAUCUUAUUUUCAGAGAAGAGAGAAUAGAGUAAGGAUAGGUUCUGUAAUAAGCGACUGGGUUGUGAUGAAGAGAGGAUGUCCACAGGGAAGCACAUUUGGACCACUUAUGUGGAAUAUUUUCUAGAACGAUUUGCCUAACAUAAUAUCAGAUGCCAAUGUCUCGAUGUAUGCAGAUGACCAUCAGAUCUUUGUAGCACAUGAAACAAUGAAAAGAGUGGAGAAGAUACUGGUGGACAAUGGAGAGAAGAUGACUAAAUGGUAUCAAGAUAAUCUUUUUAAGGUCAAUUGCGAUAAAUACCAAGCUAUCGUUUUGGGAAAUCCAAAAGGUGAAAGGAACACUGAUCUGGAUAUAAGUGGCGAAAAAGUUGAACAGUCACAAUCCAUCAAGAUCCUAGGUGUAACCCUAGACGAAAACCUAAACUUUAAAGAUCAUCUACGUAGUGUGAGUAAGAAAGUUGCCGGUAUGAUCGGAGUUUUAAGAAGGCUUAAAAAUCUUAUCCCAGUAAAUGCUAAGUUACUUUUGUACAAAUCAGCUAUCAUGCCACACCUUACUUAUUGCCACCUAGUGUGACAUUUUUGCACGGCAUCUGAUAAUCGUAGAUUGGAGCGUCUACAAGAAAGAGCCUUAAGAUUAGUGUAUAAUACUAUUGCCGAAAGUUAUGACGCCUUACUAAAAAGAGCUAAAUUAACUACUUUGCAAAAUAGAAGGUUGCAGGAUAUACUAAUUUUGAUGUUUAAAGUUAAAAACAAAUUAACAACGAACGAAAUUGCGAACAUUUUUAAUAUCAACGAUGAGAAUACUAAUAAUAAGGGAUACAACCUAAAAAUGCAGAUUUUGUCUUACCUCGGUUUAAAAGUGUUACUUAUGGAAGACAUUCUCUUAGAUUUCUUGGACCACAAUUGUGGUCAGGAAGAGAGAAAUAUUGGAACUUUGGCAACUUUUAGGACAACUAUACGUAAGAAGGAUGUAACAUCAUUUCUCGAAGGAUGUGAGAGUGAAUGUUGCUUAUGCUUAGGUUAACUUGACGUACGCAUAUUUAUACAUAUUCAUUUUUAGUGUCCGAGCUCAUAUAUUACAUUGUGAAUUCAGCACCCUGCUACAAAGUGUUAUAGAGUAAAAUUGUAACUUAGUUUUAAAGUGUAGAAGAGUACUUAGUCUGAAUAAUGUUAUUUUCCUGCUUUUAAGAUUCAUAGUUUUUAAUUAGAUUUUUUAGUCUUAAAGGUGUCCCCAAUUAGUUCCAAUAGGCACUAGAACGAUUAGACACUUAAAUAAAGGUCAUGUAUAUAUGUAUGUAUGUAGGUAUGACAGCG
Molecule: non-coding RNA, 2535 nt
Organism: Pocillopora verrucosa
Lineage: Eukaryota; Metazoa; Cnidaria; Anthozoa; Scleractinia; Pocilloporidae
Source: RefSeq, a predicted model, not a curated record